RNAcentral lists this ribosomal RNA (295 nucleotides) under Microsporidia sp. MS-3A. RNAcentral's name for it is "partial small subunit ribosomal RNA". It matches the Rfam family "Microsporidia small subunit ribosomal RNA", at positions 1 to 251 of the family's 1311-position model. The record is from RNAcentral. Lineage: Eukaryota; Fungi; Microsporidia.
UCACCAGGUUGAUUCUGCCUGACGUGGAUGCUAGUCUCAUAGAUUAAGCCAUGCAUGUGUAAGCGAAGCGAUUAGUGGAGCGGCGGACGGCUCAGUAACGGGCGAGUAUUUAAUCUCUCGAACCGGACAACCUCAGGAAACAGAGGGGAAAACGGUGUAGCCAUUCCUCCUGGGAAUGGUGAGAACAGCUUGCUGUGCGGGAGAGUAAGAAGCCAUCCCAUCAGUUAGUAAGUAGGGUAAGGGCCUACUUAGACGAAGACGGGUACGGGGGAUCAGGGUUUGGUUCCGGAGAGGA